ACUACUGAGCUAAAUCCCCAACCCCUAUAACCUCAUUUUUAAGAUGGGCACACAAAAGAAAAAACAGAAAAAAUCAUGUCUCUUGAUAGGGAAAUGAUUCAAUGUGUGAUAGCUCUUUGACGUAGCAGAAAGUUGUGUAGCUUUUUAAAGAACUGUAAUGUGGGCUAUUCAUACUGAGAUGGAUUGGUCUGAGGUCUGAGGUCAAGUGAGAAUGAGUAUGCUGGGCAAUGUUGGUGCACAUUUUUACCCUAGCACACAGGAGGCAGAGGCAGGCAGAUCCCUGGGGUUGAGGCUAGCCUGGUCUGUAGAGGGAGUUCCGGGGCAGCUGGAGUUACACAGAAACCCUGUCUUGAAAACAACAAAGAAAAUGACAAGUGUGUACAGUGUAUGUUGCCGCUUGCAUAAACAAUAAAAGAGGUGAGAAUACAUAGGCACAUACACAGAGAAUUCUAGAGAAUGCAUUAGUAGUAUAUGCUUCUGGGUUAGGGAUAAAGAUCUACUGUGAGAGAAUGAACGAAUCAAUCAUUCCAUCCUUGGGUGAGGUGGCUUAAAGUUAGCCAUGUCUCCUCAAGAAUGCUUUCCCACAGGGUGAGGCUGACACUCAGGGAAGGGUCAACGAGCUUCAAUAAAACAAAAAGAGACAUAUCUUGGGGUGUCAAAGUGGGCACACCAGAGAGAAUAAGGAGCUAGGUGUCCUGAGUCUUCCGUUGUUGUCUUCCUCCUACUCCCCCUUCUCCCUGCUUCUCCUUCCCCUCCUCCUUCCCCUCCUCCUUGUCUUCCUCCUCCUGCUAAUCCUCCUCUCCCUCCUCCUCUGUAAAAUCGAAGUGGGCAUGAAAUCACAUUGGUCCUGGUGCCUGUGGUGGGGGCCUUGAUUGGGAACACUACUCCACUCCCUUCCCACAAUGCACCAGGGAGGAAGCAAUUAGCAGCUUCCUGUCAUUGUUGGUUUCCACUUUGCAGUUAGAGGCAGUUUUGUGUGGUCUGAAACUGGGGAUGCAGGUUUGAGGGGAGAUGAGCUGACUGCACUUAUGACACUAGUUUAGUGGCCACCUUUUGUUAGCUUUGGGACAGGAAGGCGCCACUAAUCCCUUUCACUGCCAUGGGUUUACCUUUAUAGUGUUGUGGCUACUUUGGGCACCUAAGUUCCUCCCAUGGUCUGACGUUUACUAGUCAGUGCUAGAACACUUUAAGGACUGCUUUCAGAAAUGUUAGCAUUUAAAGUUUAAGGUUCCUGUUUUAGACUCGCUUCCUUUCUCAAUCCCCUAAUUCCUUGCCAACCCUAAGAGAUCUGUGUAUCUGAGAUAACUCACUGCAUUUGGUGGCAGGAUUGUUGUUUUGUUCUUGUUUUUCAGUAUUGCAGGUAGAACCAAGGGCUCUGUGAAAGCUAGACAACUUUAUUCUACCUUUGAGCUACAGCCUUAGCACUGAAGUUCUUUCUUCUUUUGUUAAAAACAUGUAUAUUGGGCUGGAGAGAUGGCUCAGCGGUUAAGAGCACUGACUGCUCUUCCAGAGGUCAUGAGUUCAAUUCCCAGCAACCACAUGGUGGCUCACAACCAUCUGUAAAGAGAUCCAAUGCCCUCUUCUGGUGUGUCUGAAGACAGCUACAGUGUACUUAUAUAUAAUAAAUAAAUAAAUCUUAAAAAAAAACAUGUAUAUUUAUUCUUCUGUCAUUGAAUAAAAAUAUAAUGAUUAAGGUUAUUUUGGAAGAAAUAUAUUUUGUUCGUGUUAAAUGUUUAAAUGCUACCCAUAAGGAGAAGUACAUUGGCACAAGUUGGUUGUUCCGGUACUCUGGGGGCUGAGGGGAAGAAUUUGAAUUUAAAGCAGUAUUAGAAACUUAAAGGGGCAAGAUAAAUACUAUUUUUUUUAACGUUUUAGAUUUAUAUUUCUAUUUUAUGUAUAUGAGUUUUGCCUAUAUGUUUGUAUGUAUACCAUGUGUGUGCCUGGUGUCUUCAGAAGUGAGGAGGAGUCUCAGAUCCCUGGAACUGGAGCUAUAAACGGUUGUGAACUCCGUGUGGGUGAUGGAGUUCAGGAACCACUGAACUGUUGCUUCCAUGACCCAAGAUGAAUAAUAUUAAAUAUAAUGAAUUCUGGGCAAAAUUGGUCUUGUAACAGUCCUUUGUUCCUUGGUCUGCCUGUUUACUUAUUUGUACCUGAGUUUGGUUACCUCCUUCCUUUCAUCCUGGCCUGGGCUGCUGGAAUUAGUUCCUGGAAGUUCCUGUGAGCUCCACAUACCUCUUCAGCACAAGCUCAUUCUCACUGGCCUGGUCUCUUGCUUCCAGGGGAAUCUAUAUGUUUAUUUACUUUAAUUUUAUUAUCUAUUUUUAUUUUAUGUACACCGAUGCUCUGCCUGCAUGUCUGUCUGUGUGAGGGUGUCAGGCUCCCCUGGAACUGGAAUAACUUAUAGUUAUAAGCUGCUGUGUAGUGCUGGGAAUUGAACCUAGGUCCUUUGGAAGAACAGUCAGUACUCUUAACUGCUGAGCCAUCUCUCCGGCUCAGUCUAUAAGGUUUUAUAGCAAUUGUUCUCUGACUAGAACUCCCGACUACUGGAAGCUUCUUUGACUUUGUUCCAACAUGCAGUGACUCUUCCCACCUGGAUAAACAUUAGGGAAAGGACUUACUAAUUUAGAACCAACAAUCUGGAAACAUACACACCUGUAAGACGCUACUAUUAUGAAGCUUGUAACAGGAGAAAAUGCUUACCAGGUACUUGAAAUUAGGAGACAAGCAGGUCAUGUCUAAAUUGUGAUUUUCAUUUUGUAAAAGUAACAUGGAGAUGUAGUUUGUUAAGGUAGUUAGUUAUUUUCCUGUUGCUGUGUUAAAAUACUACAGCCAAAACUUACUUAGAGAAGGAAGAGUUUAUUUCAGCUUAUGGUUCCAAAGGAUUAAGAGUCCAUCACGGUGGGGAAGCACGCCAGCAAGCGUCAGGCACGGAGGCAGGAGCAGGAAACUAAGAGCCCACGUCUCAACCAUAAGCACAAAGCAGAGUGCCCAGGAAGAGGUGCGAUGCUUUUCAUCUCAAAGGCCCCCCCCCCCCCAUACCUCCUCCAGCAAGGCUGUACCACUUAAGUCUCCUCCAGCACCACCAACGGGGGACCAGAAAUUCCAAUGCCCAAGAAUAUGGGAGGUAUUUCUUACUCAGACUACCCCGGUAGCUUUGAUAGUGCCAUUGGUAAGGGGAUACCCCAACCCCCGCCAAUACUCCGAUAUUGUCUUAUGUCAAUGUGUUUUAUAAAACGAAAUGGAAAAAGCAAAUAAUUUUUAAGGUCCUGAUAUGAAAAGCCAACAAAUAUUUUGUUUCCUAUUAAUGUGUGGAGGGAAAAAGUGCCUUGGUCCCAGGUCACAGGAAGCAGCAGUGGUAAUGAAUGACUUUGUAUCUGCAUGUCAAAGCAGAUGACCUGGGAUCUACCACAGCACGGUUGCGCAUGUCAUCCUGAAUUCCAGUAGGUGCUUCCUGUUGAAUGGUUGCCACAGGCUGUGGUUUUGGUUGGUGAUGGGCUGUGGUUCAUUUGUCAUUUGCAGGUUAUCUGUAUGUGUUUUGGUGCAGCCUUCCCCCAGCGAGGUACUUUCUCGAGCUAUUCUCUUGGUUGAUGUAAAUUACUCCUCCAGUGAGGCAGUUGUUCAGCAACUUGGAGAAAGCUUUAGAAAGUUCUCCCUGAGUGGCUAGGCCCCUGACUUGAGGAGAUCUGAUUGAUUGACCACUACUGUUGGAUAGGGCAAUACGGGGAGAUCUGAUUGGCCACUAUUGUUGGGGUGUGAAAUACGAGGAGAUCUGAUUGGCCAUUCUUUUUGGAGCGUGCAAUGCCUUAGGGUCUAUGGAUUUAUAGUUAGAUUGGUUUUUGCUUUUUGUUUUUUGUUUUGUUUUUGUAUUGCAGAGUAAAGUAGAGGCUGGUAUGCUAGCACCCUGUUCGUAAACUUUGAGCCUGCAGAACCAUGAAUACAUUUCUGUUGUUGACAAGUCUCUCAGCGUCUGGUGCUUGAUUACAGCUGCGCAAAUUGAUGAAGACAGUGGAGUUUUUGGACUAUGGCUGGAGGUCUACACGGAAUCGGAAAGCCUGCUCUGCUAUCUGUCAGACUCCAUGCUGGUAUUUGUUACUUCACUCUUCUGGAAGUUGGAUGCCAAGUUGCCCGAAGGACUUGCGUCUCCUGGGAGUGGUGCCUGUCCCCUGCCGUGGAGACCUCCUGAAGCUUCAGGAUCCCUGGGUUGGUGGCACUUGCCUGCCCUCACUUCGUUUGCCUCACUUGACCGUGAAGUUUUUCCCCAGCAGCAGCUGAUGGAGACAAGUUUGACCUGAAGUCAUCCUUAUCCUAGAGGGAGGGAAGCACGUUCAGCUAGGAGACCUGAGCGGGGAGAGAGCCUAGCAUCAGCCGCUAAAGUCCACAAGAAACUUGGCUGCUAGUUCUGCACGUUUGUUUGGUUUAUUUGGUUUCUGUCUAGAGUCAAGAAACAUGAGAAAUACAAAGAGGAAGAGACUAGCCAGA
This is a non-coding RNA of Rattus norvegicus (Norway rat), 4479 nucleotides long. The record is from RefSeq and is a predicted model, not a curated record. Lineage: Eukaryota; Metazoa; Chordata; Mammalia; Rodentia; Muridae.